GACGAACGCUGGCGGCGUGCUUAACACAUGCAAGUCGAACGGAAAGGCCCUGCUUUUGUGGGGUGCUCGAGUGGCGAACGGGUGAGUAACACGUGAGUAACCUGCCCUUGACUUUGGGAUAACUUCAGGAAACUGGGGCUAAUAUCGGAUAGGAGCUCCUGCUGCAUGGUGGGGGAUGGAUAGUUUCGGCGGUUGGGGCUGGACUCGCGGCUUAUCAGCUUGUUGGUGGGGUAGUGGCUUACCAAGGCUUAGACGGGUAGGCGGCCUGAGAGGGUGAACGGCGACAAUGGGACUGAGGGACGGCGCAGACGGGAACGGUGGGCAGCAGGGGGGAGUCUGGCACAAUGGGCGCAAGUGUGAGACGGCGACGCUGCGUGCGUAAUGACGGCCUUCGGGUUGUGAACCGCUUUCGCCUGUGACGGGGCGGUAGUGACGGUAACGGGUAAAGAAGCACCGGCUAACUACGUG
Molecule: ribosomal RNA, 468 nt
Filed under: uncultured bacterium
Lineage: Bacteria
Description: partial 16S ribosomal RNA
Rfam family: Bacterial small subunit ribosomal RNA
Source: RNAcentral